Molecule: long non-coding RNA, 248 nt
Organism: Lontra canadensis (Northern American river otter)
Lineage: Eukaryota; Metazoa; Chordata; Mammalia; Carnivora; Mustelidae
Exons: 3
Source: RefSeq, a predicted model, not a curated record
GUUCUAAGCUGCCCUUUGGGAGAUAAAAACAACCCAAGCCCCAGGCCCUGGGCAGAGGCAAGCAUUGGGGCUGUAGAACAGGACUGCCAUCACCGGUUCCAGGAAGGAGGGCUUGCUUGGAAUAAAGACAUGCAAGAUGGAAGCCCAGAAGCCUGAGGAGCAGGCAACGUAGCCUUUAUGUCCAGCUGAAUGGCCAGCGGGCUCCUCGGAGCCGCCCAUCAGAGCUGAAGAUCGUCUGGGGCUGGAGC